AAAAUGGCUUGAUCUUGGGUUGGAAAAGCUUUGGGUUCAGGUUGUUUUUAAGUUUUCACUGUUCCAUUGAUGUCUUGUUUGGAUUUUCUGAAAUCUUCUCAAAGUUCUGAAGCAUUUUCUGGUUCACUUGAGGUCGAGUAUGAGUUGAUCUGGGGUUGGAAACUAGUUCGUGAUUGGGUCCUGGGUUUUUUGCUUUGUGUCACUUGUUUUAAGUUUGGUUUUGCUGAUUGUUGCUCAAAUCUGGUUUUUGUUGCUGUUAGCUACUAGCUUUUGAUCUUCCUUGGUUUUGGUUUCAAUCUUAUUUCUAGGUACAUGACCUUGUAACCAUUUGGUUGUGAAGUGAACUGGAGGAAUAACAUGUUG
Molecule: long non-coding RNA, 363 nt
Filed under: Nicotiana benthamiana
Lineage: Eukaryota; Viridiplantae; Streptophyta; Magnoliopsida; Solanales; Solanaceae
Description: long non-coding RNA (NBEN_LNC024990)
Source: RNAcentral